AUCUCAUGAUUUGGGCAUUGGGCUAGCUUUCCAUUAAACCUCUCCCAUGCUUCAAACAAUGGUUCCCCAUUUAAUUUUUAGAAGUUUACAAUCACAUCCCUCAUUU
Molecule: small nucleolar RNA, 106 nt
Organism: Capsicum annuum
Lineage: Eukaryota; Viridiplantae; Streptophyta; Magnoliopsida; Solanales; Solanaceae
Source: RefSeq, a predicted model, not a curated record